UGAAAUAGUAGAAAACUAGUUGAAUUGCCUCCUUCAUAUGGAAAAACAAGGGGAUGACUAAAGAACAGCUCUCCACAUCAAUUACCAUUGCCCAGCACUUAUGAAAGACUCCCAACGGGGCAUUUAAUGUGCGUGAAAGGGUAAAAUCGAAGCUAUGCAUAUGGAGAAAAGUCCAUGAAGAACAAAAAUGUUUAGUAAUCUGUCAUAGUUAUGGAACCACAACUGGAA
RNAcentral lists this long non-coding RNA (228 nucleotides) under Cyanistes caeruleus (blue tit). RNAcentral describes it as "lncRNA (ENSCCEG00000000880.1)". The record is from RNAcentral. Lineage: Eukaryota; Metazoa; Chordata; Aves; Passeriformes; Paridae.